Molecule: long non-coding RNA, 1826 nt
Organism: Ornithodoros turicata
Lineage: Eukaryota; Metazoa; Arthropoda; Arachnida; Ixodida; Argasidae
Exons: 3
Source: RefSeq, a predicted model, not a curated record
UGUUAGUCCCAGAAUCCACGCACCUCCCAGCAUAGCAAAUCUGCAAUAGAAGCUACACAUGUUGUACAAGCCUACGUAGUGAAAAAGGCUGCAGACAGCCGGACCAGAAGACGGCUCUACCGGAAAACCCGGGCACCCAGAGGCCUAGAGGCGCUUUGUGCACGCAACGUGUACACAUCCUGUGCAUACGCAAAGCUCACUUCCCAAGCAGCACAGCCGACCGGAAGAAGCUCGGGGUCGCAAUGUGCCCAUCAAAACUGACUGAUAUCGACAACAUUUUCCUGACUGCUUCCCGAUAGCUUGAGAGAGAAGAAACAAGAGAGUGAGGAGAAAUAGGAUUCUCUCCCGACCUACUCGCGUCCACAGGCCAGUACUCUCAAACGCACAGCCGAUGACGGUUCCGCUCCGUUCUGUUCCCGGUUACCUGGUGUGCAUCGUUACUGGAAAGCUCUCUCACAGCAAGCCACGAAGAGAGUUCCUCACAGGCUUCACAGACAGGUUUUCGCGGGUAUCGAUGACGCACACAUAAAGAAGAACUCACCUGUCUGCUCAAGUAGCACUUAAAGCCAUCCAGAGAUUUGUAAGCAAUUUGCUGGUACAAAGUCCAGCCACUGCCGUAGCAGCAACGAGUCACGCAGUCAACUUUUGGCCACUCGCGCGUAUUUUGGAACCAAUUCUGCAAAGCGAAAAUAACAAAAAGAAAGAAAGAUCAGUAACGGAAAGUGUGUGUGCUGCAGACGGUAUUAUACACAGGCACGCCAGCUAGCUUAAAGUGACUCUGACCAGAAGUUGGGCAAACUCUUCGUUUGCAUCUAUUAUGAAAGCAUAAUAUGCCUCCAAGCCACACGUGAAAUAUUUCGGUUGUGUAUGGCAGUGCAGUUUGCCAAACAAACAGGGACUGAAAACCAGCUUUGCCUUCGCCCCUCAACUCGCGCAAUCGGCGCCGGAAUCUAUCCCGUAUAUGAUGAACUUCCGCUUGUUUGACGUCAUCUCGAGGAUACAUUUCUUUGGAAGAUACCCAGCACCAGAGGUUCCGUGGUUUGUUUGUUAGUAAGGGCUCUUCAAAAUGGACGUCGAAGCUAGUAUGGCGACCUAUCUGCGACCCAAGAGGGAAGUUCUGUUGCAUGCGAAGGAGUUCGGAAACUUGCUUUCGAAACGUCGUCAGCGAUGCAGACGCGAACCCAGGUCGGAGCUCCACAUACAUCGGGCACACAUGAUGCCAACGUCGCCAGUUGCCUGACUUUGAUAGACUGGUAAAUUAACUUUUUACCGCACAUUGAUCGAACGCGUAAACAUUAUCUGUAGAUUUCGUGUCCUCAUAUUUGGUCGAGCACUUGUUGCUUUAGGUGCCAGUGUGGUUUAUGCGCCAUAACACCGAAAAAAUCGAAUAUGUCUGUGCUUCAAGGAGCUCGAGAACACUGCAGUACUAAUGUGAACCACGAUGGCUUCAAACUUGUAUGCCUCAACGCGACUGUUCUAAAAGUCGCGUAUUUUGAACUCCGGGGACAGCGCGAACCCAUGAGCAUUCAUAUUCACAAAUAAAUCACAAGCAUUCUUCCACACUAACUGUACGAUUUAGUUAAAAAUGUUGAUUUCUAAAGCAGUACAGCAUAGUUCAUAUGCUGUGACUACAGCUUUUUUCGGCGUUAUUAAUCCUCUUGUCGUACAUUUUAAGCCUUAUACCAUGACAUUUAAUCCAUUUGCCGUCGGAAUUAAUCCUCCUUUCAUUAUUUUUAAUUCUCAUUUCACAUAAUUUAAUCCGUUUCUCAUGCAAUUUAAUCCAAGUGAAUAUGUGUGGGCUACAUGACUUUUUUCUGUGUAUUUUG